Molecule: ribosomal RNA, 253 nt
Filed under: uncultured bacterium
Lineage: Bacteria
Description: partial 16S ribosomal RNA
Rfam family: Bacterial small subunit ribosomal RNA
Source: RNAcentral
UACGUAGGGGGCAAGCGUUGUCCGGACUUACUGGGCGUAAAGCGUGUGCAGGCGGGCCGCUAUGUGCCGUGUGAAAGCUCUCAGCUUAUCUGGGAGAGGUCGCGGUAGACAGGCAGCCUGGAGGCUCGGAGAGGUCAGUGGAAUUCUCGGUGUAGUGGUGAAAUGCGUAGAUAUCGAGAGGAACACCAGUGGCGAAGGCGGCCUUCUGGACCAGUACUGACGCUGAGGCACGAAAGCGUGGGGAGCAAACAGG